RNAcentral lists this transfer RNA (76 nucleotides) under Oscillospiraceae bacterium. RNAcentral's name for it is "tRNA-Pro". It matches the Rfam family "tRNA". Rfam says of the family: Transfer RNA (tRNA) molecules are approximately 80 nucleotides in length. Their secondary structure includes four short double-helical elements and three loops (D, anti-codon, and T loops). The record is from RNAcentral. Lineage: Bacteria; Bacillati; Bacillota; Clostridia; Eubacteriales; Oscillospiraceae.
GGAGCAUUGGCGCAGCUGGCAGCGCGCCUGGUUUGGGGCCAGGAGGCCCGGGGUUCGAGCCCCCGAUGCUCCACCA